GUACAGUCCAGUCCAGAUUCCUUUCAGAGGUACGCUGUACAGUCCAGUCCAGAUUCCUUUCAGAGGUACGCUGUACAGUCCAGUCCAGAUUCCUUUCAGAGGUACGCUGUACAGUCCAGUCCAGAUUCCUUUCAGAGGUACGCUGUACAGUACAGAUUCCACCUGCGAUCUAUAUAUGGCGUGUCUCCUAUCCUACUGUACCUCUGUAACUGACAUCGGUGUGCUGCUAACAGCUUUGCUUCCUCCACUGUCCCUGUCCCCUUAUUAGGCUCGAACCAGUGGUCUUCUGAUCACAAACACACGUGACCACCCUCUUGGACAACUUACCAACCAGUGGUGCUGUAGAAAAGGAUCCGAAUUGGAUAGCACCAUUGGUAUCGUUUCAAGCUAGCUGUGAAGUGAGCUAAU
Molecule: long non-coding RNA, 408 nt
Filed under: Salmo salar (Atlantic salmon)
Lineage: Eukaryota; Metazoa; Chordata; Actinopteri; Salmoniformes; Salmonidae
Description: lncRNA (ENSSSAG00000118659.1)
Source: RNAcentral